GAUGAACGCCGGCGGUGUGCCUAAUACAUGCAAGUCGUACGCACUGGCCCAACUGAUUGAUGGUGCUUGCACCUGAUUGACGUUGGAUCACCAGUGAGUGCGGACGGGUGAGUAACACGUAGGUAACCUGCCCCGGAGCGGGGGAUAACAUUUGGAAACAGAUGCUAAUACCGCAUAACAACAAAAGCCACAUGGCUUUUGUUUGAAAGAUGGCCUUGGCUAUCACUCUGGGAUGGACCUGCGGUGCAUUAGCUAGUUGGUAAGGUAACGGCUUACCAAGGCGAUGAUGCAUAGCCGAGUUGAGAGACUGAUCGGCCACAAUGGAACUGAGACACGGUCCAUACUCCUACGGGAGGCAGCAGUAGGGAAUCUUCCACAAUGGGCGCAAGCCUGAUGGAGCAACACCGCGUGAGUGAAGAAGGGUUUCGGCUCGUAAAGCUCUGUUGUUGGAGAAGAACGUGCGUGAGAGUAACUGUUCACGCAGUGACGGUAUCCAACCAGAAAGUCACGGCUAACUACGUGCCAGCAGCCGCGGUAAUACGUAGGUGGCAAGCGUUAUCCGGAUUUAUUGGGCGUAAAGCGAGCGCAGGCGGUUGCUUAGGUCUGAUGUGAAAGCCUUCGGCUUAACCGAAGAAGUGCAUCGGAAACCGGGCGACUUGAGUGCAGAAGAGGACAGUGGAACUCCAUGUGUAGCGGUGGAAUGCGUAGAUAUAUGGAAGAACACCAGUGGCGAAGGCGGCUGUCUGGUCUGCAACUGACGCUGAGGCUCGAAAGCAUGGGUAGCGAACAGGAUUAGAUACCCUGGUAGUCCAUACCGUAAACGAUGAGUGCUAGGUGUUGGAGGGUUUCCGCCCUUCAGUGCCGGAGCUAACGCAUUAAGCACUCCGCCUGGGGAGUACGACCGCAAGGUUGAAACUCAAAGGAAUUGACGGGGGCCCGCACAAGCGGUGGAGCAUGUGGUUUAAUUCGAAGCUACGCGAAGAACCUUACCAGGUCUUGACAUCUUGAGCUAACCUUAGAGAUAAGGCGUUCCCUUCGGGGACGCAAUGACAGGUGGUGCAUGGUCGUCGUCAGCUCGUGUCGUGAGAUGUUGGGUUAAGUCCCGCAACGAGCGCAACCCUUGUUACUAGUUGCCAGCAUUAAGUUGGGCACUCUAGUGAGACUGCCGGUGACAAACCGGAGGAAGGUGGGGAUGACGUCAAAUCAUCAUGCCCCUUAUGACCUGGGCUACACACGUGCUACAAUGGACGGUACAACGAGUCGCAAGACCGCGAGGUUUAGCAAAUCUCUUAAAGCCGUUCUCAGUUCGGAUUGUAGGCUGCAACUCGCCUACAUGAAGUCGGAAUCGCUAGUAAUCGCGGAUCAGCAUGCCGCGGUGAAUACGUUCCCGGGCCUUGUACACACCGCCCGUCA
RNAcentral lists this ribosomal RNA (1413 nucleotides) under uncultured bacterium. Its description in RNAcentral is "bacterial SSU rRNA". It matches the Rfam family "Bacterial small subunit ribosomal RNA", at positions 28 to 1399 of the family's 1533-position model. The record is from RNAcentral.